This 253-nucleotide ribosomal RNA is filed under the name uncultured bacterium. RNAcentral's name for it is "partial 16S ribosomal RNA". It matches the Rfam family "Bacterial small subunit ribosomal RNA", at positions 524 to 776 of the family's 1533-position model. The record is from RNAcentral.
UACGGGGGGAGCAAGCGUUGUUCGGAUUUACUGGGCGUAAAGGGCGCGUAGGCGGUCGUGACAAGUCACUUGUGAAAUCUCCGGGCUUAACUCGGAACGGUCAAGUGAUACUGUCGGACUAGAGUACAGAAGGGGCAACUGGAAUUCUCGGUGUAGCGGUGAAAUGCGUAGAUAUCGAGAGGAACACCUGCGGCGAAGGCGGGUUGCUGGGCUGAUACUGACGCUGAGGCGCGAAGCCAGGGGAGCAAACGGG